CCUACGGGGGGCUGCAGUGGGGAAUAUUGGACAAUGGGGGCAACCCUGAUCCAGCCAUGCCGCGUGUGUGAAGAAGGCCCUCGGGUUGUAAAGCACUUUCAGUGAGGAAGAACGCCUGGUGGUUAAUACCCAUCAGGAAAGACAUCACUCACAGAAGAAGCACCGGCUAACUCCGUGCCAGCAGCCGCGGUAAUACGGAGGGUGCGAGCGUUAAUCGGAAUUACUGGGCGUAAAGCGCGCGUAGGUGGCUUGAUAAGCCGGUUGUGAAAGCCCCGGGCUCAACCUGGGAACGGCAUCCGGAACUGUCAAGCUAGAGUGCAGGAGAGGAAGGUAGAAUUCCCGGUGUAGCGGUGAAAUGCGUAGAGUUCGGGAGGAAUACCAGUGGCGAAGGCGGCCUUCUGGACUGACACUGACACUGAGGUGCGAAAGCGUGGGUAGCAAACAGGAUUAGAUACCCUUGUAGUC
This 465-nucleotide ribosomal RNA is filed under the name Vreelandella stevensii. RNAcentral's name for it is "partial 16S ribosomal RNA". It matches the Rfam family "Bacterial small subunit ribosomal RNA", at positions 338 to 795 of the family's 1533-position model. The record is from RNAcentral. Lineage: Bacteria; Pseudomonadati; Pseudomonadota; Gammaproteobacteria; Oceanospirillales; Halomonadaceae.